This 526-nucleotide ribosomal RNA is filed under the name uncultured bacterium. Its description in RNAcentral is "bacterial SSU rRNA". It matches the Rfam family "Bacterial small subunit ribosomal RNA", at positions 777 to 1304 of the family's 1533-position model. The record is from RNAcentral.
AAUAGAUACCCGGUAGUCCACGCCGUAAACGAUGUCGACUUGGAGGUUGUGCCCUUGAGGCGUGGCUUCCGGAGCUAACGCGUUAAGUCGACCGCCUGGGGAGUACGGCCGCAAGGUUAAAACUCAAAUGAAUUGACGGGGGCCCGCACAAGCGGUGGAGCAUGUGGUUUAAUUCGAUGCAACGCGAAGAACCUUACCUACUCUUGACAUCCAGAGAACUUAGCAGAGAUGCUUUGGUGCCUUCGGGAACUCUGAGACAGGUGCUGCAUGGCUGUCGUCAGCUCGUGUUGUGAAAUGUUGGGUUAAGUCCCGCAACGAGCGCAACCCUUAUCCUUUGUUGCCAGCGGUUAGGCCGGGAACUCAAAGGAGACUGCCAGUGAUAAACUGGAGGAAGGUGGGGACGACGUCAAGUCAUCAUGGCCCUUACGAGUAGGGCUACACACGUGCUACAAUGGCAUAUACAAAGAGAAGCGACCUCGCGAGAGCAAGCGGACCUCAUAAAGUAUGUCGUAGUCCGGAUUGGAGU